UCGAGAAUUUUUCUCAAUGGGGGAAACCCUGAAGGAGCGACGCCGCGUGGGGGAUGAAUGGCUUCGGCCCGUAAACCCCUGUCAUUUGUGAACAAGUUGAUUCACCUAACACGUGUAUCAUUGAUUGUAGCGAAAGAGGAAGGGACGGCUAACUCUGUGCCAGCAGCCGCGGUAAUACAGAGGUCCCAAGCGUUGUUCGGAUUCACUGGGCGUAAAGGGUGCGUAGGCGGUUGGGUAAGUUUGACGUGAAAUCUCCGGGCCUAACCCGGAAACUGCGUUGAAUACUAUCUGACUAGAGGAAUGGAGGGGAGACUGGAAUACUUGGUGUAGCAGUGAAAUGCGUAGAUAUCAAGUGGAACACCAGUGGCGAAGGCGAGUCUCUGGACAUUUCCUGACGCUGAGGCACGAAAGCCAGGGGAGCAAACGGGAUUAGAUACCCCCGUAGUCC
Molecule: ribosomal RNA, 448 nt
Filed under: uncultured bacterium
Lineage: Bacteria
Description: bacterial SSU rRNA
Rfam family: Bacterial small subunit ribosomal RNA
Source: RNAcentral